This is a long non-coding RNA of Gadus morhua (Atlantic cod), 2895 nucleotides long. Lineage: Eukaryota; Metazoa; Chordata; Actinopteri; Gadiformes; Gadidae. The record is from Ensembl.
GGAUUUCACAGCUUGGCCUUUCGUUUCCCACCGACAGUGGUUAGGUGCCUACUUCACGGUCAUCAGGCCGCUCUACCUGUCGUGGCAAGGGGAAGCAGCGGACGACAAGGGCUGCUUCUUCCUGGGGACCACAGGACGUCCCGUGGCCAAUCCCAGGUCCGAUUUGCGCCGUCUCUGGAGGCGCUGUCGGAAGAUCUGCGAGGCAGCGGGCCCGACUCCGCCGCCCCUUACGGCAGAGGCCGCUGGGACGUCUUCCCGGGACACGAGUUCUGUGUCGGGGAAGGGGUCGCGUGACGACCAAUGGGACGCUUUCGUCAGUGAAUUCCCCGUGACGAUGGGUGCCCUCGCGCCCUCCAAAGAGGACCUCGUCGGUGCCGUGUUUGGCGAUGAACGGACGCCCUACUUCAAAUGGAGGCGCAUCCAGUUGGAAAAGCGUGUGCUACACGUGUCCGCUUCCGCUGGCGGGCAGCGACCGACUGAGGCCAAGGUGGCAGCCGUUGUAGCCAAGGAGAAAUGGAAAACCAAUGUCCCCUCCCUCCCGGAUGUGCUCAAGGCGUGGGUCUCCCCUUUAAAGGCAGCCAUUGAGGACGACGAAGGCUGUCCUCAAGUCAGUGGUGGAGCAACGGUGGAAGGGGAUCGAUUUUAAGGACUUUGGAGAACACAAGGGCAGAGGCGUCAUUGCCACCGUGCCGUUCUCCAAGGGGGACGUGAUAUGCGACUAUCACGGAAAGCUCAUCUCUGAAUCCGAGGGGAAGAGGCUGAUGGAUGCAAUGCAGGAGGGAGUGAUGUGCUACCUCUUUUUCGUCAGGGGCAGGCUAGGCACCAAGCUGUGCGUCGACUCCCAGAACUUCCCCUGCGAGUGCCACCCUGGAAAGGACGCCUUUGGUAGGCGCAUGAACCACUCGGGCAAGGCGUCCAAUGUGAAGCCUGUGGUGUUCCAGUUGAACUUUCCAGACGGAGCCAAAGACGCUGUCCUCUUCUUGGCCCAGAGAAACAUAGCUGUCAACGAAGAGCUCCGUUGGGACUAUGGUGUGAGACGGGAGGUCUUUCGGAGAUGAGGGCAUGGACCUGGCAUGGCUCGGAUGACUGAAACGAUUCUCUUUGGUUCAUUGUGUUCUCAUUUGUUGUUGCCGGUUAUUGCUGUUCUUCUUGUUGUUGUUGUUUGGUGUCAUGUUUUUAAUAAAUGUUUUUGCUACAAAGGACAACGCCUUGAAUAGACUGACUUUAUUAAUCCCCGAAGGAUGUGAAAUAAUUCAAGUCUUCAUGUUAACAUUACAUUGACAUAGAGUGGGUGCCAGAAAAAGUGAAAAACACGACAGCUCUCGUUUAAGGGCUUAAACUUUGAGCUACUGCAGGAAAAGGGCAUGCAUAAAACGUGCACUGCAUGUGAAACAUUCCGUAAUGAUAUAUGGGACGAUUGCAAUCACCAGACAUGAGGAUGAACAAAUGUAUUGCCACAUAAGCAGCUACAAGAAAAAACAAACAAACAAAUUAAUAAAUGAAGGAGUGAAUGAAUAAACAAGUAAAUGUUUAAGAUGGAGACAAAAGGGGGCCACUCUGCCCUUUUGUGGAAUAGUUUGGACAUGCCUACAGAAUAAAAAACAAACGGCAUGUCCACGAUGAAACACAGAAGCACUUUACUUCUGCUAACAAUAGUCUUUGGGUUCCAUUGAUUGCAUUUCCAUUUGAUUUGAGGUCAAAAUGGCUGCUCUUUUCAAAAUGGCUGCUCUUUGAUGGUUUGAGUGUCAGACUAAUGGUUGUUACUUCAUGAGGUGGGUACAGUGGUUUGUCUCGUCUACUUGAUGGAGGUAAGUGACCACGGAUCAAAACAGUUUAUGCCUUAAAGUCUAGGGCCCACUGCUAAAGAACAAGGACAUACUCCUUGAACACCUAGAGCUUUGACACUGUGUGUGUGUGUGUGUGUGUGUGUGUGUGUGUGUGUGUGUGUGUGUGUGUGUGUGUGUGUGUGUGUCCAACUGGAAAAACAAAGUGAAGGAACAGGAAUCAUUAUUGUGUGUGAAUAUAAUAGAUUUGAUAUGUUGUAUUGAGAUGCAUUUUACCUACUUUUCUUUCACAUUCAUAGACUACAUCCUGACUUGCAUAAAUAAAUAAUAUAAUAAACGAAAUAAUAAUAAACGGAUGACGGUUAGGGGCCGCUUCUGCCAUCUGGUGGCUGCUGAGGGGACCUCAACGGACGACACUUAGGAUUUGGCUGUGCAAAGCUGCUACAGACAGCAGCAUAUGUGAUGCCCGACUGGAUAUCUCGGCGGGUGAAGGUCGCACGGACUCGGGCUUGGCACCGUUGGAAAGCUGCUUCCCCCUUUGGGGGGGGUGCGUCUGCCUCCCGUUUCUCUAGCACCUUGCUGUCAAAAGAUAUCCACCGAAAACGGUCUGCACCCCGGUGCACUUCGGUUAAAACCCCCUAACCCUAACCCUAACCCUAACAGGCUCAUUACCUAUACGGCCCUGAUCUCCCUCGAGCGAGGUUAUUUUACCUUCUCCCUAAAAUACAUAAACCCCCAGAAACUUGGACCGUUCCCUUCGUGAUUCCUCCAGGACGCCCUAUAGUCAGCGACUGUGGCUCCGAAUCAUAUCACCUGGCGGAGUUCAUAGACUACUAUAUUAACCCCCUAUCCCACACCCACCCGAGCUACCUGAAGGACACCUACACAUUUGUAAACAAAUUAAAGAAUCUUACCGUCCCUGAUAACACGUUUAUCUUUUCCAUCGACGUCGACUCCCUGUAUACGAACAUCGACACUGUUCUGGGCCUCGAGGCUGUUAAGAAAGCAUUGGCUUUAUCACCUGAUCCAUCUCGUCCCGACACAUUUAUUUUAAAGUUUUUAGAAAUUACCCUUACCCGCAAUGACUUUUUGUUUGAUAAAGCCUUCUUCC